This is a long non-coding RNA of Gasterosteus aculeatus (three-spined stickleback), 6556 nucleotides long. Lineage: Eukaryota; Metazoa; Chordata; Actinopteri; Perciformes; Gasterosteidae. The record is from Ensembl.
GGAAAGUUACCACCCCAACCGUUUAACACCAAAGGAGGACAAAAAUGCUGUCUUUUACCAGGAAUAAUGGACCGGGUCAACAGAAUGUACAACUUACACAAUCCCCACCAGCUGCUUCUCCGUUUAACCCCAACACAUUUGGGAAUCAGCAAACUGGGAAUGCAAUUGGGUCAAUGUAUGUAAUAGCUGGAGUCAAACCCCAAAACCUCAUGUCUCAACUAUGUCACUAUGGAGCUGACUCUAAUAGACAGCCAUCAAAUUGGCAGACCUCAGCAGUUCAUCAGGCAGUUUAUUUUCAGCAGACUGCCGGAAGUGACAAUUAUCAGCAACGCUCACCUGCUAAUGAGCAAAGUAGAAACCCCAUAUUGCAUCAUUUAUUGAUCCACCCAAGUCCACCAGACGUGAUGAUGGCAAAAGAAGUAUGCCCUCAGCAAGUCAAUUCAGCAAAUUGGAACCAAUCAGUGGGAGUUUAUGGGAAACCAUCAAUAACGACACAGAAUGGUAAUAUCGUGACCGAUCGCCAUCAUUGUUGGGAUGAGAAUAGUCUUCUCAACCUAAAUGGGAAAUCAGUUAUACCUGCUUCUGCAACUGCUACCUCGCCUCAACAUGGAGCGGUGGCUUACAAUGGGACAUUGGGGCCUGCUGCUGCACACCAUGGACCGACUGCUCAUAACAGUCCCAAACAAAACCCCACUCAGCAUUGUUUCCACCCAAGUUAUAUGUCUGUCUCUCAGUCUUUCAGAAACGACAACAAAACAACGCACUCCUCCUCUAGUGGACACAACCUACAGGUUUCCAGCACAAGUCGGAUUUUUCAACAAUCCUCAGCACAUAACAAUGGUGGAGAGACCGCCGGUUGCAUUAAUUCAAAUAACAGACAGCAUGAAACUAACUUUUCCGUGUCACAACCAAAUAAUUAUCCCUUAAAUCCUGCUGCACAACAGGAAAUAUGCAGGCGCCAAACUAUCGCAAGAAUUGAAAACUAUCUACGUAUGCCAAUUGCUGCUGGCUCAGAUGGGCGACCUCAAGUGAAUACUAGUUCAGCUUACGGACAAAAUAAAAAUGUGCAACCAGUGACAACGGUUGCCAAAAUAUUUAACGCAAAUGCCACCCACGCCAUACGACAAAAUUCUAGACCUCCUUUGCCUCAAACCACUUGUAGUGUUAUGUCUGCGCAGCAUUGCGGAGAUGUGCUACUUCAGCAAAGCUCUGUGCCAAGUGUCAUCAAUGUCUCAGCGAUGCAAGAUGGAAGCCAUUGUGAAAUGCUAUCAGCCAAGGCAAAUGACCCCUGCGGUCUCUUGUCCCCUGGCCGCACGAGAGUUGUUGCUGUUGUGCAACCAUUGUCACAGGGAAGCUACCAGGUUGCCGGCCGGCAGAGCAGUUCUUGCACCGCCAGUCAGUUGUCGGAGGGCGCCACAGCAGAUGGGUCUUCGAGUUACCCAGAUCGUUUACUCAUUUCACCACAAAACAAGCAUUUGGGGUAUCUGAAAGUGGGACAGUCUCUUCUCCCAGAAAACCCAAACCAAAUGAGCUCCAGCCAAUAUGCAAUCCUGCAUUCAGCGGUAUCCAAUAAUGCUACUUGUCGUCUGUCGUCUUCAGCUGGGCCUCACCACUCGCCGCAAGAACACCACUCGCCGCAAGAACACCACUCGCCGCAAAAACAAUCGCCGCAAAAACAAUCUACGGUUGCCGCAGGAUCUGAACUGGAUGUUGACAUGCAAGUACACAAGUGUGUUGCACCAACUGCUCAACCAUCAGUAACUUCCAAAGCGCCAGUGAGCCAAAAUUGUGAUAUGGACUUAAGUGAGACAACAAAUGGCGUUGAGGUUCCCUCAGUCCCCCAAAUCCCAUGGACAAGAGUCACAUUAUCAAAGUACAUACAGGAUUGUGAAAAAGCUCAGAUCAAGUUAAAAGAUUUUGCCACGCGUAGCCCACUACACAAAUUAUUGAGCAUGUUUUGGGAUGGCGACAUUAGCAACUUGGCUUGUGAGCUUAAGAAAGGCCUGUACCAUACUUUAAUGGAUGAUGUCAAGAAAGUGUGCCGCGAACAUGCAACGAUAGAAUCCAUGUCACAAGUUUGGGGCUCAUGGAGUGCAGUCACAGAACUCAAGAACUACAAUGUCCUCAAAGAUACAGAUGUUUAUAAAGAACUGCCUUACAAGUCAUUAUGGUUGAAUGUCAAUGAGCAGCUUGAUGACAUUGACAAAGAGUUUGACUUCCCACCAUCUUUGAAGUAUCAUCUUCAUUCGGUUACGAGUGUCAGUCAGCCGGGUGAGGUUGAGAAAGAAGGCAACAAUUCCGCACAAACCGUAAAUGAAGUGUCCAACAAGAUUUUGUCAUCAACGGAACUUCAGCAGGUGGAGUUAAAUGAAGAAAAACAAGAGCCCAGUGUUGAAACAACUUCCACACAAACUAAAAAAAGGAAAGCCACUGAUUCCAGUGACCCAUACUCUUUUCAAAUCCAAGUUCUUACCCCAGAAGAUGCCAAAGUCAUCUUUGAGCAGGUGAUAAAGGCUCCAGAAAGUAUGGUUGUGGAUAUGGACUAUCAGCCAGAUAAAGUCUUAAAUAGCUCUGUGGAAGUUGAGCUACCUGAUGUUAUCGAUGUAACACAGAGUGACCCAAAACUUGAGGACAAAACAUUCGGUCCAAUUGAAGAAAUUUGCUGCAUCGACAGGUGGAUGGAAAACAUUUUGGGGUCAAACACUGCUUCUAAAUGCAAAUGCCAAAUCAAGCCAACCCUGACCCCAAGUCAGAAAGAACUUACUGCGAAGACCGUUGACAAGGAAGGGAUGGCAGCACGGAAGAAUGAUUCAUUCAGGCCUGACAACAAAUCCCCCUCUGCUGCAGCUGGAGAGAAUCAAGCAGUGAGUGGGGAGAGCGUCAACAAUCGGGUUUUAACAUUUGAUUGGCCUGUGAUAGUUGACGUAUUCAGUGAAAACAUUGACAAUCCUGAAGGCCGUGACAAACCUCAUUCACAUUCUGACCAAGACCCAGAGAACAUUGACCAGAUAAGCAUAGACAGCGGCCAGUCUAGCAUCCUAUUCAUAAGCGAUGACGAAGAGCUGUCAUGCAUUGAAAGUGAAACUCCCAACCAAAUACCAAACUUGGGAAGUAAUUCUGAACACGCGCCGGUGGAAUUGCGAACCAGUGGCCAGUUAAACUGUUCAGACGCAAAAGAGACCGCUAAAAUCUCCAGAAUUUCUAAAAUUCAUUCAGACCUCGAUGAGGAAGGUCUACCAUAUCAGUUGAAACAUACUGGACAUCUACAGUUGUCUACUCUGGUUAAAAGUGACCAAAAAAUUAAAAGUCUAUCCAGCGGUGAAAGUGACUCUUCAAUCCAGAUGACUGACCUCAAGGAAAAUUGUGGACAAGCUCAAGCGCGAUCUACAAAUGACACUGAGUCGUCAUUGGAAACUGAAGAAAUAAAGAGUGCGGCAGGAGCCCGACAGAACCCGCGGAGUGGUAAACUGAAGAGACCACGUGGUCCUGAUAGAUUUUUACCAGCAUCAAAGAAAUCAAAGAAAAGCAAAUCCCUAGUAGAUCUAGAGAACUCACAGCCUUUCCGCAAGGAUGCUUCAAACUGUGGGAAGGUCUUUUUUCAUGCGUCUGAUGGCGAACCUUCCCCCUUCAGCCGUCCAACUGUGGACCUGGUUCUGUUUGGCUCCAGGACACAGGACAAUUGUGUUGUAAUGGAUAGCAGAAGGAACCAUUCCUCGUCUCCAGAGGCUGGGUCAAAUCCUGUACCGAGGCCUCCAAAAUCUCUCACUGUGAAUCUCAGUCCCUUGAAGAAAAAGACCAUUAAAACUGUGCAGACAUGGGAAUGUUCAGUCCAACGGCUUUACAAGAAAUGGAAGAUUAGUUUUCCACCAGCUAAAAUAAAGCACAAAGGCAGGCUAAAAGCACAGAAGGGUACCUUUGCCCCGUCAUCCAAGUGUAAUCUGGAGAGAGCUGAAAAGACCGGCCCUGCUGGCGCUGAACAGCCGCCAGUUUGCUCUAACAAGAGGGUCACGAGAGGGAAAACCAAGCCCAGCCCGAGUCUUCUUUGGAGGAAGUCCCUCUCCGAAGAACUUCAAUGUGAAGAGCAGAUACAGACCCUCAACCGUCCUGAUGAUCAGGAGAGAAAUAACGGCGACAGUGGAAGCCAUGCGGUCAUGCCUCUCCAGAGAAACGGUACCCUGAAGUAUAGUGUCUUACCGGUUUCCUUUAACUUUGGAACCAAUGGGACAAAAGAAACCAAGGAGCCUGUUUCAGGGAAGCCUGAUGUUGCUGAAGGAAAGGACCACAGACCCAAUCAAACUGUCAUUGAAAGAAGUACAUGGUAUCCAAUGGCCCACACGAAUAGUCUAUUUUUCCCUCCCACACCAAAGACCACCAGCCUCUUCCAAACGUUUCAGAAGAAGUACAUGGAGAAGGUGAAGCCACUUGAGGAUAAAUGAGAUGCCAGAACAAAGUUUUGCUGGCAACAGAACUCAAAAGAUUGUUACAGAAGUGAUGUCUUUCUAUUUUUGUACUGUACGUGACGGAGCCAUUGUAAGUCGAGUCAGUCAGAUGUUUACAUCAGUUUGUACUUAAAAAUGACCUUUGUUUACAUAACUAUAAAGGCUGUCAAGUCCUACGUUUCACUGUUUUACCUCAGUUAUAUAAAUAUAUAUAUAUAUAUAUACAUAUUUUUUCUACAUUAUAUUUUUCUGCAAUAUUCUCUUUUUGAACAAAUAUUUUUUUUAUACAAAAGGUGUCUAGAAUAGCAGAUUAUAUGUCUGUUUACACAAGAUAACGGUUAUGUUGGGAGCACUAACGGUGAAUUUAGUACCCAGAAAGGACAUAAUGGUAUUUUUUUUUCUUUUAUAUCAAGUAAAACUAUUGACAGUUACAAAUUCUUAAGUUUGUCUCGUCUUUCUCUGAUUUCGAACGAUUCAAGUGUGCUUUCAUCAAAGAAGUGUGGUGAAGAACGCAAUCUACCUGGCCGAGGGUCAGGAAACAUUGGGACCGUUGACGUUUUCUUUUUUGUAUUUAAAUGUUUAACCACUUGGGGUUUGAUUAACUUUACCCGGUUGGCCAAGAAGCCCAUUAUAGACGUUCCUAUUUAACCAUUCAGAAUGAGUUUGUCAGGAAUCAGGAAACAUUUAUUGCCAAAAUAUGUCAAACAUACAAGGAAUUUGUCUUGACGGUUGGUGCGUGACCGUAGACAGUGUAACAAUAGACAAGACAGCAGUGCACAAGUAAUAAAAUAAGGUAAAAUGAAAUGCAAAUGAAAUGGGUUAGUAUAAAAGAGAAUAAAGUUUAGUUAAAAAUAAAAAAUAUUGAAGUUAAAAUAUUAAGCAUAAAGUGCACUAGCAAACAAGUGACGACUAACGACAAAGUGAAAAAAUUACAGUUAAAGUGACAUGUGCAGUAUGAAGGGGAGUGACCGGUGGAAUGUUAUAGUCAGUCAGUGGGGGACCAGGCUCUGUUGAUGAGCCUGACUGCCGACGGGAAGAAACUGUUCGUGUGGCGGGAGGUCUUCGUCCUAAUGGACCUCAGCCUCCUGCCAGAUGGAAGGGGCACAAACCGUUUUUGUCCGGGGUGAGCGGGGUCGGCUACGAUCUUUUUAGCUCGCUUCAGAGACCUGGAAGCGAACAAGUCCUGCAGGGACUGCAGAUUGCAGCCGAUCACCCUCUCUGCAGAGCGGAUGACAUGCUGCAGCCUGCCCUUGUCCUUGGCUGUGGCUGCAGCGUACCAGACGGUGAUGGAGGAGCAGAGGAUGGACUCGAUGAUGGCUGUGUAGAAGUGGACCAUCAUCGUCUUUGGCAGGUUGAAUAUCUUCAGCUGCCCCAGGAAGAACAACCUCUGCUGAGCCUUCUUUGUGAUGCAGCUGAUGUUCAGCUCCCACUUGAGGUCCUGAGUGAUGAUGGAGCCCAGGAAACGGAAGGAGUCCACAAUAGUGACGGGGGAGUCACACAGGGUGAUGGUGGAAGGUGGGGCUCUGUUCCGCCGGAAAUCCACAACCAUCUCCACUGUCUUCAGAGCGUUGAGCUCCAGGUUGUUCUUACUGCACCAUGACACCAGAUGGUCAGACUCCCACCUGUAGGCGGACUCAUCCCCAUCAGAGAUCAGUCCAAUGAGGGUGGUGUCAUCCGCAAACUUCAGGAGCUUGACGGACUGGUGACUGGAGGUGCAGCUGUUGGUGUACAGGGAGAAGAGCAGAGGGGAAAGAUUGCAGCCUUUGGGGGAACCGGUGCUGAUGGUCCGAGAGGCUGAGACAUGUUUCCCCAGCUUCACGUGCUGUUUCCUGUCAGACAGGAAGUCUGUGAUCCACUUGCAGGUGGAGUCGGNNNNNNNNNNNNNNNNNNNNNNNNNNNNNNNNNNNNNNNNNNNNNNNNNNNNNNNNNNNNNNNNNNNNNNNNNNNNNNNNNNNNNNNNNNNNNNNNNNNNUUGGCUCUGUAGGCGAACUGCAGGGGGUCCAGGAGGGGGUCGGUGAGGGACUUCAGGUGGGACAGGACUAGCCGUUCAAAAGACUACAGAGGUCACGAUGACGGGCCUUAUAAAGUGAACAUCUCUCUGGCUGGCUGUUUGCAGA